CCCCGCCCCGCGCCGGGCUAGUGGCGCCAGGUCCCUCCUGGAGCGGCUCCAGCCGCACAGCCGCCGCCGCUCGGGUUCGUCCUCCGGCAGCUGAUGUCCAGCCGGGUGCUCGGGCGGUACGCAGUGGCACACAGCCACAGGAUGUCAGCCGAACGCACACCUCGAAGGUUGGCCUUCACAGUCAUACUUUAUGCACCCUAUCCAGGACAGCGAUCUUCGGUCUAGGGUACAUAUUCCCUGAAGGUAUGUGAAGACUUUUAAGGUGUUUACAAGUAUGGACAGCUUUGAAGAUCCUCCAUUUUCAUAUCUAUUCUUUCCUAAAAGUGAAAUAUUUCUUUUUUAAAAUUUUUUUAACGUUUAUUUAUUAUUGAGAGACACAGAGAGACAGAGUGCGAGCAAAGGAGGGGCAGAGAGAGAGGGAGACACAGAAUCCGAAGCAGGCUCCAGGCUCAGAGCUGUCAGCACAGAGCCUGACGCGGGGCUUGAACUCACAAACUGCGAAUUCAUGACCUGAGCCGAAGUCGGACGCUUAACCGACUGAGCCACCCAGGCACCC
This 556-nucleotide long non-coding RNA is filed under the name Felis catus (domestic cat). RNAcentral describes it as "lncRNA (ENSFCAG00000043496.2)". The record is from RNAcentral. Lineage: Eukaryota; Metazoa; Chordata; Mammalia; Carnivora; Felidae.